GAUGAACGCUGGCGGCGUGCCUAAUACAUGCAAGUCGAGCGAACGGACGAGAAGCUUGCUUCUCUGAUGUUAGCGGCGGACGGGUGAGUAACACGUGGAUAACCUACCUAUAAGACUGGGAUAACUUCGGGAAACCGGAGCUAAUACCGGAUAAUAUUUUGAACGGCAUGGUUCAAAAGUGAAAGACGGUCUUGCUGUCACUUAUAGAUGGAUCCGCGCUGCAUUAGCUAGUUGGUAAGGUAACGGCUUACCAAGGCAACGAUGCAUAGCCGACCUGAGAGGGUGAUCGGCCACACUGGAACUGAGACACGGUCCAGACUCCUACGGGAGGCAGCAGUAGGGAAUCUUCCGCAAUGGGCGAAAGCCUGACGGAGCAACGCCGCGUGAGUGAUGAAGGUCUUCGGAUCGUAAAACUCUGUUAUUAGGGAAGAACAUAUGUGUAAGUAACUGUGCACAUCUUGACGGUACCUAAUCAAAAAGCCACGGCUAACUACGUG
This 497-nucleotide ribosomal RNA is filed under the name uncultured bacterium. RNAcentral's name for it is "partial 16S ribosomal RNA". It matches the Rfam family "Bacterial small subunit ribosomal RNA", at positions 28 to 507 of the family's 1533-position model. The record is from RNAcentral.